GAAGUGAAUAAAAUAGCUUUGGUGAAGCGAACCCGGGGAACUGAAACAUCUCAGUACCCGGAGGAAAGGACAUCAACAGAGACUCCCGUAGUAGUGGCGAGCGAACCGGGACCAGGCCAAUGCCUUUGAUUCAACUAGCAGAAGCUUCUGGAAAGGAGCGCCAUAGUGGGUGACAGCCCCGUAUGCGAAAGUGAUGUCAAAGGAUUUGAGUAGGGCGGGACACGUGAAAUCCUGUCUGAACAUGGGGGGACCACCCUCCAAGCCUAAGUACUCCUCAGCGACCGAUAGUGAACCAGUACCGUGAGGGAAAGGCGAAAAGAACCCCGGGAGGGGAGUGAAAUAGAUCCUGAAACCGCGUGCUUACAAAAAGUAGGAGCCUCGUAAGGGGUGACUGCGUACCUUUUGUAUAAUGGGUCAGCGACUUAAUCUGACGAGCAAGCUUAAGCCGGUAGGUGUAGGCGCAGCGAAAGCGAGUCUGAACAGGGCGUUCAGUUCGUCGCAUUAGACCCGAAACCGAGUGAUCUAGCCAUGAGCAGGUUGAAGGUAAGGUAACACUUACUGGAGGACCGAACCCAUAACUGUUGCAAUAGUUCGGGAUGACUUGUGGCUAGGGGUGAAAGGCCAAUCAAACU
Molecule: ribosomal RNA, 632 nt
Filed under: Gloeochaete wittrockiana
Lineage: Eukaryota; Glaucocystophyceae; Gloeochaetales; Gloeochaetaceae
Description: partial Bacterial large subunit ribosomal RNA
Rfam family: Bacterial large subunit ribosomal RNA
Source: RNAcentral